UGGGGAAUAUUGGACAAUGGGGGCAACCCUGAUCCAGCAAUACCGCGUGAGUGAAGAAGGCCUUCGGGUUGUAAAGCUCUUUUACCGGGGAAGAUAAUGACGGUACCCGGGGAAUAAGCUCCGGCUAACUUCGUGCCAGCAGCCGCGGUAAUACGAAGGGAGCUAGCGUUGUUCGGAAUUACUUGGCGUAAAGGGCGCGUAGGCGGUUUUGUAAGUCAGAUGUGAAAGCCCCGGGCUUAACCUGGGAACUGCAUUUGAGGCUGCAAGACUAGAGAUCGAGAGAGGAAAGUGGAAUUACGAGUGUAGAAGUGAAAUUCGUAGAUAUUCGUAGGAACACCGGUGGCGAAGGCGACUUUCUGGCUCGACCCUGACGCUAAAGCGCGAAAGCGUGGGGAGCAAACA
RNAcentral lists this ribosomal RNA (402 nucleotides) under uncultured bacterium. Its description in RNAcentral is "bacterial SSU rRNA". It matches the Rfam family "Bacterial small subunit ribosomal RNA", at positions 355 to 774 of the family's 1533-position model. The record is from RNAcentral.